UGGGGAAUUUUGGACAAUGGGCGAAAGCCUGAUCCAGCAAUGCCGCGUGUGUGAAGAAGGCCUUCGGGUUGUAAAGCACUUUUGUCCGGAAAGAAAUCCUUGGCUCUAAUACAGUCGGGGGAUGACGGUACCGGAAGAAUAAGCACCGGCUAACUACGUGCCAGCAGCCGCGGUAAUACGUAGGGUGCAAGCGUUAAUCGGAAUUACUGGGCGUAAAGCGUGCGCAGGCGGUUUGCUAAGACCGAUGUGAAAUCCCCGGGCUCAACCUGGGAACUGCAUUGGUGACUGGCAGGCUAGAGUAUGGCAGAGGGGGGUAGAAUUCCACGUGUAGCAGUGAAAUGCGUAGAGAUGUGGAGGAAUACCGAUGGCGAAGGCAGCCCCCUGGGCCAAUACUGACGCUCAUGCACGAAAGCGUGGGGAGCAAACAAGAUUAGAUACCCUGGUAGUCCACGCCCUAAACGAUGUCAACUAGUUGUUGGGGGAUUCAUUUCCUUAGUAACGUAGCUAACGCGUGAAGUUGACCGCCUGGGGAGUACGGUCGCAAGAUUAAAACUCAAUGAAUUGACGGGGUCAUAGCUGUUUCCU
Molecule: ribosomal RNA, 585 nt
Filed under: uncultured bacterium
Lineage: Bacteria
Description: partial 16S ribosomal RNA
Rfam family: Bacterial small subunit ribosomal RNA
Source: RNAcentral